UACGUAGGUCGCAAGCGUUGUCCGGAAUCAUUGGGCGUAAAGAGCGUGUAGGCGGUCCGAUAAGUCCGCUCUGAAAGCCCGGGGCUUAACCCCGGGUCGGCAGUGGAUACGGGCAGGCUAGAGGUAGGUAGGGGAGAAUGGAAUUCCCGGUGUAGCGGUGAAAUGCGCAGAUAUCGGGAGGAACACCGGUGGCGAAGGCGGUUCUCUGGGCCUUACCUGACGCUGAGGAGCGAAAGCGUGGGGAGCGAACAGG
Molecule: ribosomal RNA, 253 nt
Filed under: uncultured bacterium
Lineage: Bacteria
Description: partial 16S ribosomal RNA
Rfam family: Bacterial small subunit ribosomal RNA
Source: RNAcentral